Pantherophis guttatus is the source of this 404-nucleotide non-coding RNA. Lineage: Eukaryota; Metazoa; Chordata; Lepidosauria; Squamata; Colubridae. The record is from RefSeq and is a predicted model, not a curated record.
ACGAUAGUAUGGAAAAUGAAAUGCUAAAAGAUUCAUCUUAAGUGGAAUUAAGCAGCUUGACACUCUCCACAUUUGCUUGCUACAGGUCAGCUCAAGUCCAAAAUACACCAUUUUUAAAUUAUUUAUUUUACAAUAUUAAAGCCCAUCCAAUUCAAACUGACUCAGGUGGAAUAAAUAAACAUGAACAAAGAAAUGCACCAAGCAAUUCACUGAAAUCAUCAAUAAACAUUAACGAGAUGGGCCUUAUUUUAUUGACUGUUAUAUUCUGAGCAGUUUGUGGAAAACUGAGCAGGAAAGAAUGAACCAGUAGAAGAAAAUAUUCAGAGUCUACAUUCAGCAAAGCAGGCAGAAUGUAAAUCUGGAUGGAAUAAGAGUAUGAAAAAUAACAAGUUGUUGACUAAUGC